AUUGAACGCUGGCGGCAGGCUUAACACAUGCAAGUCGAGCGGGGUGAUGGUGCUUGCACUAUCACUUAGCGGCGGACGGGUGAGUAAUGCUUAGGAAUCUGCCUAUUAGUGGGGGACAACAUCUCGAAAGGGAUGCUAAUACCGCAUACGUCCUACGGGAGAAAGCAGGGGAUCACUUGUGACCUUGCGCUAAUAGAUGAGCCUAAGUCGGAUUAGAUAGUUGGUGGGGUAAAGGCCUACCAAGGCGACGAUCUGUAGAGGGUCUGAGAGGAUGAUCCGCCCCACUGGGACUGAGACACGGCCCAGGCGCCUACGGGAGGCAGCAGUGGGGAAUAUUGGACAAUUGGGGGAACCCUUAUCCAGCCAUGCCGCGUGUGUGAAGAAGGCCUUAUGGUUGUAAAGCACUUUAAGCGAGGAGGAGGCUCUUUUGGUUAAUACCCAAGAUCAGUGGACGUUACUCGCAGAAUAAGCACCGGCUAACUCUGUGCCAGCCGCCGCGGUAA
This 503-nucleotide ribosomal RNA is filed under the name uncultured bacterium. Its description in RNAcentral is "partial 16S ribosomal RNA". It matches the Rfam family "Bacterial small subunit ribosomal RNA", at positions 30 to 523 of the family's 1533-position model. The record is from RNAcentral.